This 253-nucleotide ribosomal RNA is filed under the name uncultured bacterium. RNAcentral describes it as "partial 16S ribosomal RNA". It matches the Rfam family "Bacterial small subunit ribosomal RNA", at positions 524 to 776 of the family's 1533-position model. The record is from RNAcentral.
UACGUAGGAGGCGAGCGUUGUCCGGAAUCACUGGGUGUAAAGCGCGUGUAGGCGGCCUGCCAAGUCUGCUGUGAAAGCGCCUGGCUUAACCGGGCGAGGUCGGUGGAAACUGGCGGGCUGGAGGUUGGUAGAGGGGGGUGGAAUUCCCGGUGUAGUGGUGAAAUGCGUAGAGAUCGGGAGGAACACCAGUGGCGAAGGCGGCCCCCUGGGCCGUACCUGACGCUGAGACGCGAAAGCGCGGGGAGCGAACGGG